UGCCAGCCGCCGCGGUAAUACGGAGGGGGCAAGCGUUGUUCGGAAUUAUUGGGCGUAAAGCGCGUGUAGGCGGUUCGUUAAGUCUGAUGUGAAAGCCCGGGGCUCAACCCCGGAAGUGCAUUGGAAACUGGCGAACUUGAGUACGGGAGAGGAAAGUGGAAUUCCGAGUGUAGGGGUGAAAUCCGUAGAUAUUCGGAGGAACACCAGUGGCGAAGGCGGCUCACUGGUCCGAUACUGACGCUGAGGUGCGAAAGCGUGGGGAGCGAGCAGGAUUAGAUA
Molecule: ribosomal RNA, 279 nt
Filed under: uncultured bacterium
Lineage: Bacteria
Description: partial 16S ribosomal RNA
Rfam family: Bacterial small subunit ribosomal RNA
Source: RNAcentral